Molecule: long non-coding RNA, 382 nt
Filed under: Setaria italica (foxtail millet)
Lineage: Eukaryota; Viridiplantae; Streptophyta; Magnoliopsida; Poales; Poaceae
Description: long non-coding RNA (SITA_LNC004074)
Source: RNAcentral
CUGUCGUCGCGGUCGGGCACGAGCUCGGCCUCGCCGAGGUACACCACCCGGGCCGCCAUCAGCUUCUCCCACACCCUCCGCCGCGCGUCCUUCCCCACGGCCUGCGGCUCCCCGAUGACCGUGGCGUCGUAGACCCUCGACAGCGCCGGCUCGUCCGCGGGAGGCGGAGGCGGGGCCGGCGCCGCGGGCGCCGGCGCCGCCGGCGGUGGGGCCGGCUUGUCAUCGCCCGCCGCGGCGGAGGCGGCGAGCGGGAGCGACUGGAGGGCCGUGGACGCCGCGACCAGCGAGGGGACGAGGACGAGGAGGUUGCGGCGCGUGGUGGCGGCGGCGGCCGUGCAGACGCUGCCGCGCGUGGAGGCGGACGCGGAGGCGGGGGUGGAGG